UUAUAUCGCUCCUCUACUCCGUAGGGAAUAAAAGAGCGGAUCUGGCUGUUCCAGCGAGUUGGUGCUUGCACCUAUUCACGAGCUGGAUCAGCUGAAGAACAGAGGUUAGCUCAAGGACCCGUUAAGGGCCGCAACUGGGUAGGCAGCUCACGCUUGCUAUUUCUAGUUGUUGGCUUGGAUCUUUGGCUUGACCCUCAAACAGGAACCCUUUAUUU
RNAcentral lists this unclassified non-coding RNA (215 nucleotides) under Tetracystis excentrica. RNAcentral's name for it is "partial internal transcribed spacer 2". Lineage: Eukaryota; Viridiplantae; Chlorophyta; Chlorophyceae; Chlamydomonadales; Tetracystaceae. The record is from RNAcentral.